GACGAACGCUGGCGGCGUGCUUAACACAUGCAAGUCGAACGGAAAGGCCCUGCUUUUGUGGGGUGCUCGAGUGGCGAACGGGUGAGUAACACGUGAGUAACCUGCCCUUGACUUUGGGAUAACUUCAGGAAACUGGGGCUAAUACCGGAUAGGAGCUCCUGCUGCAUGGUGGGGGUUGGAAAGUUUCGGCGGUUGGGGAUGGACUCGGGGCUUAUCAGCUUGUUGGUGGGUAGUGGCUUACCAAGGCGUUGACGGGUAGCCGGCCUGAGAGGGUGACCGGCCACAUUGGGACUGAGAUACGGCCCAGACUCCUACGGGAGGCAGCAGUGGGGAAUAUUGCACAAUGGGCGGAAGCCUGAUGCAGCAACGCCGCGUGCGGGAUGACGGCCUUCGGGUUGUAAACCGCUUUCGCCUGUGACGAAGCGUGAGUGACGGUAAUGGGUAAAGAAGCACCGGCUAACUACGUG
Molecule: ribosomal RNA, 467 nt
Filed under: uncultured bacterium
Lineage: Bacteria
Description: partial 16S ribosomal RNA
Rfam family: Bacterial small subunit ribosomal RNA
Source: RNAcentral